RNAcentral lists this unclassified non-coding RNA (222 nucleotides) under Hevea brasiliensis (rubber tree). Lineage: Eukaryota; Viridiplantae; Streptophyta; Magnoliopsida; Malpighiales; Euphorbiaceae. The record is from RNAcentral.
AGGUUACAGCGCUCGAUUUCUUAGCCGACGAUUCCUCAUCAUCCACGAUCUCCCCUUCUUCCAGCUCAUCAUCGUUAACGUCAUCUUGUGCCCCAGGGUUAGGAUUAAGGUUUGGAUUCAGUGUUUCUCCUGUAGUUGAUUUCGAUGGCUCUUCCGCCUCCAUUUUUGCGUUAAUUUUCUCUGCUGCAGCUGCUUCUCCUUACUCUUGGUAUGUUAUGGUAG